This 254-nucleotide ribosomal RNA is filed under the name uncultured bacterium. Its description in RNAcentral is "partial 16S ribosomal RNA". It matches the Rfam family "Bacterial small subunit ribosomal RNA", at positions 524 to 776 of the family's 1533-position model. The record is from RNAcentral.
UACGUAGGCAGCGAGCGUUGUUCGGAGUUACUGGCGUAAAGGGUGUGUAGGCGGUUGUUUAAGUUUGGUGUGAAAUCCUCCCGGCUCAACUGGGAGGGUGCGCCGAAUACUGAAUGACUUGGAGUGCGGGAGAGGAAAGUGGAAUUCCUGGUGUAGCGGUGAAAUGCGUAGAUAUCAGGAGGAACACCAGUGGCGAAGGCGGUUGCCUGGGGCUUUGCUGACGCUGAUGCGCGAAAGCGUGGGGAGCGAUCCGG